CGCCCGCCGCGCGCGGCGGGCGGGGCGGGGGCCGGGGGGCGUACGGGAGGCAGCAGUGGGGAAUCUUCCGCAAUGGACGAAAGUCUGACGGAGCAACGCCGCGUGUAUGAUGAAGGUCUUCGGAUUGUAAAGUACUGUCUUUGGGGAAGAAUGACUGAUUUGAAAAUAUUGAGUCAGUAUGACGGUACCCAAGGAGGAAGCCCCGGCUAACUACGUGCCAGCAGCCGCGGUAAUACGUAGGGGGCAAGCGUUGUCCGGAAUUAUUGGGCGUAAAGGGCGCGUAGGCGGAUAGUUAAGUCCGGUGUGAAAGAUCAGGGCUCAACCCUGAGAGUGCAUCGGAAACUGGUUAUCUUGAGGACAGGAGAGGAAAGUGGAAUUCCUAGUGUAGCGGUGAAAUGCGUUGAUAUUAGGAGGAACACCAGUGGCGAAGGCGACUUUCUGGACUGUAACUGACGCUGAGGCGCGAAAGCGUGGGGAGCAAACAGGAUUAGAUACCCUGGUAGUCCACGCUGUAAACGAUGAGUGCUAGGUGUAGAGGGUAUCGACCCCUUCUGUGCCGCAGUUAACACAAUAAGCACUCCGCCUGGGGAGUACGGCCGCAAGGUUGAAACUCGAAGGAAUUGACGGGG
This 629-nucleotide ribosomal RNA is filed under the name uncultured bacterium. Its description in RNAcentral is "bacterial SSU rRNA". It matches the Rfam family "Bacterial small subunit ribosomal RNA", at positions 69 to 918 of the family's 1533-position model. The record is from RNAcentral.